ACUAACGUUAUAUCAUAAAUUAACUAAUACGAGCUGAUACUAAUGACUAUUAGUUUAUUCACUAACUAAUACAAAUAAAAUCAAACAAUUCCAUCUUCCUUCAUCACAGAUCCACAACCGAUUAAGUGGUCUAUUUUCCCCUCAGGGUGCUCAAAGAAGUCUGCCACAUCCAGGUGGGUGAUGUCAAAAUUAUCGUCAGAGACA
This 204-nucleotide long non-coding RNA is filed under the name Nicotiana benthamiana. RNAcentral describes it as "long non-coding RNA (NBEN_LNC029863)". Lineage: Eukaryota; Viridiplantae; Streptophyta; Magnoliopsida; Solanales; Solanaceae. The record is from RNAcentral.